UGCCGCAGGAGGUCACCAAGUCAGUGCCAGUCUCUGGGAAGCCCCCGCCCCCAUGAGGUGUGGGUCACGGGGCAGGUGGCCUGAGGGAUUGUGACCAUCCUGGCCUUUAUCCCACCCCCUGCAGGGGCUGUCCCCAGUGCCACAACUAUUCCAGCUACAUCAUCCCCCACAAGUUUUGGGUGACCGAGGGGCCCAAGAAGGAGCAGCUCAUCCAGACCUUCAAGGCUCAGACCAGCCAGACGGAGUACCGGUUCUUCACACAGGGGAAUGGCCAUUGCCCCUUCAGAUCCGACUGCUGCCUCUACCUGUACCAGCCACCGGAGCCGGCGCUGGCCUCUGCUUCUCCUUGGCCUGAGAUUGUGCAACAGUUUCCAGGCAGCCAGGUGCCAGGCUCAGCGUCAUUCCUGGGGCCCACCAGGCAAGCGGAUGACAUAGCCUUCCCACGCCAUCCUGUAGUCCUCUGGGACCCUGAGCUCCUGCCGGAUCUUGGCAGACCCUACUAGCUUGGCCUUCCGCACAGUGGCAGGCCUUCCUCUUGCAGUUUGGAGAUGCAGAAAGCAGAAGGUCCUCUACCCAAGCUGGGGACGUGAGGGCGGUAGUUCUCACAGGAGGCUCUUCCUGCACGCCAGGCCUUGGUUUUUAGCUUUGCUCAUUUUAUAGAAGGAUUUGGAAAGGAAACCAAUAAAAUGUACCUACCACAGGCUGUGAUGUCUACAGGGUGGUCAGCUCCUACCCUCCUCGCACUGGGGAGCAAGCUUGCCCCUGAGUUCUUUCUCUGGCCCCAUAUUGGUAAUGUGGUGCCUGGAAAGCUUCACUGGAUACGCUAAGAAGAUGACAGUGGGGAGGGCAAACACCUUUGUGUGCAGCACUAGGGAUGAAACCUGGAGCCUACAUCCUGAGCUACAGCCCAGUCCUUUAUUUAUUUAAUUUAUUUACU
Long non-coding RNA from Octodon degus (degu), 937 nucleotides. RefSeq lists it as uncharacterized. The transcript is spliced from 3 exons. The record is from RefSeq and is a predicted model, not a curated record. NCBI's taxonomy places the organism in Eukaryota, Metazoa, Chordata, Mammalia, Rodentia, Octodontidae.